AUGUUGCCAGUUUCUGGCGACCUCCAGCCAAUUGCUGGCAAUAUUUUGGCUUCCAUUUGGUUGGCUGCCAAAACUUUGGUUGCCUAUGGGAUCUUGCAUAUUGCAAAGAUUUGGGCAACAGAUGGUCAAGCAAUGUCUAGCCAAUUGUUUGCAAGAUUUGUUAGGGCUUGCAAUGGCACAAGCCAAACAUGCCCGCUCUUCUCAAAGGUUAUCUUUUUAAGUGGGUUUUGCACCUUGAAGAGUGGCAUUCUCAUGGCAUCAGAGCAUCUUGCAUGUUGUCAGGAGAUUUGUGAUUAUUCAGGGAGGAUGUUACAAAUCUUCAAGACCAGAAGUUUGGUCCUGCUACUAUGGAAAGAAGCUGCUGUAGGCUGUGGUACAAGUGUACUACUGGCCGUGGCAAGUUCUGUACAACCUACUAUCUCAAUACAUUUUAUCGUGGAUACUAUAUCGACCUAA
RNAcentral lists this ribosomal RNA (456 nucleotides) under Triticum aestivum (bread wheat). Its description in RNAcentral is "partial small subunit ribosomal RNA". Lineage: Eukaryota; Viridiplantae; Streptophyta; Magnoliopsida; Poales; Poaceae. The record is from RNAcentral.